CAAAAUUUAAUGGAAUACUGUCUUAAAUAUUCAACCUCUACUGCCAUACUACCAACAUCUGCCUCUGACAUUGUAGACCAAUAUAAUAAAAUAGAAGAUAUUACUUUUGAAGCAAUCCUGGUAUGUCCUUAUCAACUAGCAAAAAGGAAACACAAGCUUUCUUAGGUGUCACAGGGUUUUGGACAAUGCAUAUUCUGAAUUACAGUCUGAUUGUAAACCCUCUAUAUCAAGUGACCAAGAAGAAGAACAAUUUCAGAUGGGGUCCUGAGGAAGAAGACUUCUAACAAAUUAAACAGGAAAUAAUUUGUGCGUUACCAUGAAAUACUUGGACCAGUGGAAGCAGUACAAAAUGCUACAGAUAUGCUCUACGCUGCAGCUAGGGAGAAUGGUCCUACCCAGAGGACCACUGGAUUGACAAUACAUGAAGGAGCUUGAGCUGCUUUGGAAGCGGUUGAUACUGAAGCACCAGCUCCUCUUAUCACUCUGACUGCCUGUGCUGGGUUGAAUGUUCAAAGGGAGGGUCCUCUCUACACAUUAUGCAGCUCAUGCUACAUGGAAUAAGUGGAUUGCACUGAUCACACAACGACUUUGAGUCUUGUAGUCCAAGAAUCUUGGAAAUGAUUGUGGGAUAACUCAAAAGCAAAGAUUUUGUAAUGUCAUCAGAAGAGGAGGUGAUGCAUGUUGAAGAGAUCCCAAUGCAAAAUAAGUUACCAGAGAAUGAGAAGCAAUAUGCUUUGUUCACUGACAGGUCCUCUUCUAUUGUAUGAAAACACUGGAGGAGGAAGGCAGUUGUGUGGAGCCCUGCACAACAAAUUGCAGACAUUUCUGAAAAAGAAAGUGAAUCGAGACAAUUUGCAGAAGUGAAGGUCAUCCAGCUGGCUUUAGAUGUUGCUGAAAGAGAGAGUGACUAGUACUGUACCUAUGCACUGGCUCUUGGAUGGUGACAUAUGCUCCUUGAGGGUGGUUACUACAAUGUAAGCAGAACAACCGGUAACUCAGAGGCAAGCUCAUCUGGGUUGUUGCAUUGUGGAAAGAUAUUACUGCACAGAUAAGGAACAUGGAUGUAAAAGUACAUCACAUAUAUGUCCACAAACCCGACAGUCAUUUCACGGAGAAACAUCGAAACAACAAGCAGAUGGCCAUUAGGAUCGAAGUGGCUCAGUACGAAGGCAGUAUCCUGCUGGAGACAGCACCUCCAGAAGAAGAGAAAAACAAAAUCAAGUAAACUGCGUGAUGACCAUGUGAUAAUGACCCCAACUGGAGGAAAAGUACAUGGCUAGGAAUCACUCAUGACUCUGAUUGGAUAAGCAGCUGCAUACACAGUUAAGGAGUGUUUGUGGAAUUAUUUGUUGACAUGUAAAGGUGGGUGAGAAAGUAAAAAGAGAAAACUUGUGAAUGCAUAUAAGGGAUGUUAGAACCUGUAAGAAGUGAUUUGGAUCAUUCACAUCUGCAUUCAUGCCACAGAUGCUGUAAAGUUUGACUUCAGUUAUAUAUCUU
Molecule: long non-coding RNA, 1497 nt
Filed under: Gallus gallus (chicken)
Lineage: Eukaryota; Metazoa; Chordata; Aves; Galliformes; Phasianidae
Description: lncRNA (ENSGALG00010008724.1)
Source: RNAcentral